This 61-nucleotide transfer RNA is filed under the name Echinogammarus berilloni. RNAcentral's name for it is "tRNA-Asp". Lineage: Eukaryota; Metazoa; Arthropoda; Malacostraca; Amphipoda; Gammaridae. The record is from RNAcentral.
AAAGCGCUAGUUAAACCAUAAUCUUAGAUUGUCAAACUAAAGUUACCUCCGGUGCGCUUUG